ACGCGCGCGAUCGUGUACGAUCGUACCGCCGCCGAUCGUGUAUACACGGCGUCGCUUCGAUGAAAGGGUUCACGGGAAAAAAAAAAAAAAAACGGGGACAUUUACCCCUUCGAUCUAUUUUCAAUCUUCUUUAAAUACUCCGGGAGAGAAUUGAUGCUCGUUAAAUCUCGUUAGCGAUUCAACUCUGUGUUCGCAAAGUGGUCUGGAUAAUUUGAUCCGGUAUCUAUAACGUAAUAUUAACGAUAUUACGUAUGAAACUGAUUUCGGUGUUCGAUUCUUAAUUCUCGCGCACGCUCUUUGCGGCAAAUCGAAGUCGGCAAGUAAACCCUAGAUACGGGUGCGUGACGUUUUUUUGACGUGAGAAUCGACGAGAGAGUCGUGUAAGGAUUUAUCGCCGGAAGAGAAAACAAAAACGUGCGCAGAUAUCUGACGCGUUGAUACAAGAGAUUGAAACAAGAUUCAACGUGCGAUUGUGGUUCGACGUUGACACGAAAAUAAAUCAAAAAAAAAAAAAAAAAAAACGAG
Molecule: long non-coding RNA, 525 nt
Organism: Pseudomyrmex gracilis
Lineage: Eukaryota; Metazoa; Arthropoda; Insecta; Hymenoptera; Formicidae
Exons: 2
Source: RefSeq, a predicted model, not a curated record